CACCAUGUUACCAUGUCUUUGCACCCCUGUCUCAAGCCAGGAAUGAUAGUGUCCUGUUUACCCAUCUUUGUUUGCUGCUCAACGGUGCCUCUCCUCCUGUGACUAAAGAAUUGUUCCAUGUCCCUUUCCAGAAUUUUUGCUCAUUUCUCUUAUCCCAAGGCUAGCUAACAUUCUCUGGGCCCAAGAAUAUAUGUCUCAACAACAGUGAAAAUCUCACACACUCAAAAGCAGACAAGCUUGGAGGGAACACAUGGAAAAGAAAUAUGUCCCCUUCCAAUAAAGGGGUAAAGAGAUUUAGUUAUCUUUUUGUAGCUUGUCCAUAUCAUCAGCAAAGAUGAAUGUUUGUUGGGCACCUAAUAUGCACAUGAAAGUGUAUUAAUUGCUGGGGGAAAAAAUGCACAUCCUCAACUGACUGGGAAGGAUUCCCAAAGAUAAAGCCACAUUGAGAAUGAACUCAGCAUCCAAAAUUUCAAAACCCAUGAAAAAGCAAUCACAUCAUGAGCUAAUAAUGUCAAUAGAUAGAAGGAAGCCAAGAUCAGAUAAGACUGCAGAACUUUAGGUAAGUGAAUAACAUGAUGGAGACCAUAAAAUUAAAGACUUUAAAUUAUUAAAAGUAUAAAAGAAACAAAAUGAAAAAAAAAAACUAAAAAUGGAACAACCACAAUAGAACAAAAAAGGUGGAUUUGGAAAAGAACCAAAAAGAGCUUAUGGGAAUUUUUUUUUUUAAUGGUCACUGAACUUUUAAAAUUCAGUGAGUAGCAGGGUGCCUGGGUGGCUCAGUUGGUUAAGUGUCUGACUUUGGCUCAGAUGAUGAUCUCACGGUUUGUGAGUUCCAGCUCCACAUCAGGUUCCAGGCUACAGUGUGGAUCCUUUUUGAGAUUCUCUUUCUGCCCCUUCCAUGUGCUUUCUCGCUCUCUUUCUCUCUCUGGAUAAACAUUUUUUUUAAAUGUCAGAAUUAAUAAUAAGUUUAGGUUGUUCAAUAAAAUGUCAAUAGAUAAGAAUCA
This 1004-nucleotide long non-coding RNA is filed under the name Felis catus (domestic cat). Its description in RNAcentral is "lncRNA (ENSFCAG00000051417.1)". The record is from RNAcentral. Lineage: Eukaryota; Metazoa; Chordata; Mammalia; Carnivora; Felidae.